CAGUAGCCACGGUAAUACGGAAGGUCCAGGCGUUAUCCGGAUUUAUUGGGUUUAAAGGGAGUGUAGGCGGUCUGUUAAGCGUGUUGUGAAAUUUAGGUGCUCAACAUCUAACUUGCAGCGCGAACUGGCGGACUUGAGUGCACGCAACGUAUGCGGAAUUCAUGGUGUAGCGGUGAAAUGCUUAGAUAUCAUGACGAACUCCGAUUGCGAAGGCAGCGUACGGGAGUGUUACUGACGCUUAAGCUCGAAGGUGCGGGUAUCGAACAGGAUUAGAGACCCCCGUAGUCCCUGUCUCUUAUAC
This 301-nucleotide ribosomal RNA is filed under the name uncultured bacterium. RNAcentral describes it as "partial 16S ribosomal RNA". It matches the Rfam family "Bacterial small subunit ribosomal RNA", at positions 509 to 807 of the family's 1533-position model. The record is from RNAcentral.